Molecule: transfer RNA, 88 nt
Filed under: Dugesia ryukyuensis
Lineage: Eukaryota; Metazoa; Platyhelminthes; Tricladida; Dugesiidae
Description: tRNA-Leu
Source: RNAcentral
AUAGUAAUAUCUGUUUUGCUUUCAGAUGGUGUCAAUACUUUAGUUAUGUUGGGUUUCUAUUAUAAAUCCUUCAUACAUUUAACAUAUU